UACGGAGAGUGCGAGCGUUGUUCGGAAUCAUUGGGCGUAAAGGGCGUCUAGGCGGCGCACCAAGUCAGAUGUGAAAUCCCUCGGCUCAACCGAGGACGUGCAUUUGAAACUGGUGUGCUUGAGUAUCGGAGGGGGCAGUGGAAUUCCCGGUGUAGAGGUGAAAUUCGUAGAUAUCGGGAGGAACACCAGUGGCGAAGGCGACUGCCUGGCCGAAUACUGACGCUGAAGCGCGAAAGCGUGGGGAGCAAACAGG
This 253-nucleotide unclassified non-coding RNA is filed under the name Deltaproteobacteria bacterium. RNAcentral describes it as "partial 16S ribosomal RNA". It matches the Rfam family "Bacterial small subunit ribosomal RNA", at positions 524 to 776 of the family's 1533-position model. Lineage: Bacteria; Pseudomonadati; Myxococcota; Myxococcia. The record is from RNAcentral. RNAcentral also lists the same sequence under 1 other name.